This is a long non-coding RNA of Daphnia pulicaria, 1061 nucleotides long. RefSeq lists it as uncharacterized. The transcript is spliced from 4 exons. Lineage: Eukaryota; Metazoa; Arthropoda; Branchiopoda; Diplostraca; Daphniidae. The record is from RefSeq and is a predicted model, not a curated record.
AUGUAUCAGGAGAGGUGGGCAAACGCAGUAGGGCGCCCCCUCUGAAAACUGUGCCAACUUUCUGAAAUUGUUUACACUUCUGCCGCUAGGUUCUCUAGUGUUAGUGGCCCUGAAAUUGGGCGCGAAUUAUCAGAAGUAAAGCGUCUGCCAUUUUUGAAAGUAGAUUCCAUUUCGAUGUUUCAUUUUAUAAUUUCGUUCUUUAACUUAGGGUGAUGUGUUUUUGAUAAAUCGUGUUGCGAAAUGGUUAAGUGUUUCGUUGUUGGAUGUUUUACGGGAUACAAAUCAGCAAAAGAAAAAUAUGCCAAGGUAUUUAAACCACCCAAAAGAAGAAAGGCAAUUCAUUUUAUGGGGAAAGAAAAUGAAAAGAAGUGACAGAAAAUUUUCUAGAAAAGAUUAUGUGUGUUCUAGACAUUGGGAAGAAGAAUUCAUCAUCAAGAACUCUGUAAAUGGUGGUGCCCCAUUAUGUCGUUGGAAAUUGAGUGAUGAUGUCAUACCAAUCCUUUUUCUUGGUUACAAAGAUGGGGUAGCCCCAAGCAAAAAUUAUCGGAAACAAACAACCUCUCCAUUAUCAAACAAUGCAUGCCAUAAACAACCAGAAGAGAAACUUGAUAAUCGAACAACAUCUGAUGUGAACAGUGUUGAAGUCACUCUAGGUGGAGAGAACGGCCUGGAACACACAACCCAAGGAACAAGAGAUCCUGUUUCUGCCCAAGAAUGUUAUCUGGUAAAGGUAAUAUGUGUUACUUGUGUGAACAUCUCGACAAGAUUCACUUGAAGUAUAUGUCACGGCAAACAGUAAUUGAAAUAAUGUCCGCAAGAAAGAAGAAAACUUUAAUGAAAUAAAAAGUGCUGAAACAAAAAUUCAGCGGAAAGAACUUGUUGUCAAGAAUCUUCAACUAGCAAUUAAAAAUGUCAGGAAAAAUGUCACUGCUGCUUGCGAAAAGGCAAUAAGUAAUCAGUUUCUUGGGCUUAACGACCAGGUAUAUCAUGCUCCCAAUUACUAUUCCCCUCUAUGACGAGUACGUUUGUUAGAUUCCCCAAUUUGAACUAUUUUUCUACCA